Sorex araneus (European shrew) is the source of this 134-nucleotide small nuclear RNA. RefSeq annotates it as U4 spliceosomal RNA. The transcript has a single exon. NCBI's taxonomy places the organism in Eukaryota, Metazoa, Chordata, Mammalia, Eulipotyphla, Soricidae. The record is from RefSeq and is a predicted model, not a curated record.
AGCUUUGCACAGUGGCAGCAUCAUAGCCAAUGAGGCUUAUGCGAUUAUUGCUAAUUGAAAACUUUUCCCAAUACCCCGCCACGACGACUUGAAAUAUAGUCAACACUGGAAGUUUUUGACAGUCUUUACGAAGA